RNAcentral lists this long non-coding RNA (2192 nucleotides) under Homo sapiens (human). RNAcentral's name for it is "HSALNT0321168". Lineage: Eukaryota; Metazoa; Chordata; Mammalia; Primates; Hominidae. The record is from RNAcentral.
AUACUUGGGACAUACUGUGAGGAUGUUAUUAGCCAAAUGUCAGAAUUAGCCAAAUGCUUUCACAUCUUCCUGCAAUCUAGUCUUGUGUUUAUGAGAAUCCUUUCUGAAUUCUCUUGACUCACAGUGGACCUUUUUUUCCCUUAGAAAUCAAGUGUAGUUUUCCAACCACUGUAUUAUCUAUUUCAUAGCUGGGGAAACUGCUGAACCUCAGCAAAAUAAAUUGGUGACAGAAGCAAGAACUAAAAAUGAGAUCUCUCUCUGGGCCUCAUAUGCUAUUACAGCAUACAUUGCCUUGAAAACAUUUUUGGUAGCAAUAAAAGUAAAAUGAUUUUGGUGAAAAUGAGUCUAUACUGGAAAAUCAGGUUGAAUUCCCUUUGUUUAUAAGUGUCCUUAGGGAUAUGACCAAGACAAAUUAUUUCCUAUACAGUGAGGAAGGAAACAGAAGUCUAACAUACACUAAUCAAAAUGCUAUCUUCUUAUGUACCAAAUUCCAAUAUUAGAAUAUUAAGACUUUAAUGCCAGUGGCACGACUAUCAUUUUGGUAUUGACUGAUUUGUUUAAUCAACCAAUCUUUAUUUGGUGUCUAUUAUGGGUUACAAACUAUGCGAUAUCCUAAAAAUAACUACAAAUUAAGGGCUUAAUGCUUAGGUAUUUACUUUUUAAAAAAAUGUUAAGUAUUUGCUUUUUUUCUUUUUUAAUAUCUGUGCAGAAGGAGCACUGGGCUGUGACUCAGGAGAUCUGGGUUGUUUUCCGGCGGAUACAUUAUUCCUUUCUCAAGUGCGGACAAUGACGUCUGCCCUUGCUCCCCUGGGAAGGCCCCCUGGCAGGGUGAGAUGGGUGCUGAAACUGAGUGGCAAGAAAGAGCCAGCCAAUUAAGAGCUUUCCAGGGAAUGGGAAGAAACAGUCAAAAGGUUGGUCAGACUAGUGAGCCAGGGGAGCAGAGAAAACACUUGGGAAUGGAGGCGCAGUGUGGAGGAAGAGCUUCCACAGCAAUGUUUAAGAAAGCAAACGAGUAAAGCAGGGACACAGUUUUAUCUUUAAAACCUCGAACACUGCUAGGCACACAGUGUAUGCUGGAUCAGGAUUUGCUGAAUGAAUGACUGAAUGAACUGAAGGGCAUAACCCAGAAUUAAUACAAUGUCACUGAUUUUUUAGAAGAAUCAUACCGUCUGUUGGGCAGAGAAUGGACUGAAGGGAGGUGGACAGGAAGGAAACAAGGGGACUGAGUAGGAGCCGUGCAAGAAUUUGGGCAGGAAAUGACGGCAGGCUGGCCUGGGGCGGUGGUUGCAGACAGGAUGACACUCGAUGCGUCGCAUACGAAGUGAUUAGUGGCAGAAAGGACUCCUGAGGAAUUCUUGGGUUUUGUCUUAAUCUCCUGGAAGAUGGCAGCGCUUCUGACAGAUGUAGCCAGUAUUGGGCUUGGGUGAGGUACCAAGCAGGGAGGGUUUAGGACUGACCCUGGAGGGCUGUGACUUUAAAAGGUGAGUGUAGAAGAGCCAGCCAGGGGAGUGUGCUGUGGAGGAGCCAGGAAUGGAGACGGUCUGAAGUUGAAGAUUUGUGAUGACUACAAGGAACAAUCAGCCAAAAGUCUGCGAGAAUCAAGCUUUACAGGCAAAAUGACCUUACGGAUACCAAUGACCCCAAAACGUUUUGGAGUGAGAGAUACACGUGAACCAGCAAACCAUCUCUCCAAGGAGGAUGAGGAAGAUGCUUCGGGUCGAUGAAGGGAAGGAGACAAAUGGAAAGGUAAGAAGUGGGCAAGGGCAGGAGCCCCAUACAGCAGACUGGUGGGAGUAGGGGAAAGACAGUGAGGUGGGAAAAGCAAUCAGGGGCAGGAAGGAGGAAACCUCAGGAGCCGAACCCCAUCUUGGUUUCAUGCCAGUGCAGUCGCUCAGCCAGAAAGGCUGGCUGGGGUCACUGGGCUCCCAUCACCAACGUCCAAGCUCUGCUUCUGCCGAAGUGGCUCCCAGGCUCCUUGCCUCUCCCUGAAUUCUGCAUAUGCCCAUCAAAGGGCCUCGCUGUGUCUCCAGCUAACUCUCCCUUUGCAGUGUUGGAAGACCUCUGGAAAAAACAGUUCCUCAACUUGUAUUUUCAGCCCACCUAAUUAAUUCCUAAGAAAACCUGAUUUGGGCAAAACUCUGGUGUUCCCACUUUUCCUCACUUGGAGCUGUCUUUCUGCUUUUGAAAGACAC